RNAcentral lists this ribosomal RNA (525 nucleotides) under Carpophilus (Carpophilus) sp. CO1746. RNAcentral's name for it is "partial large subunit ribosomal RNA". It matches the Rfam family "Bacterial large subunit ribosomal RNA", at positions 1803 to 2602 of the family's 2925-position model. The record is from RNAcentral. RNAcentral also lists the same sequence under 1 other name. Lineage: Eukaryota; Metazoa; Arthropoda; Insecta; Coleoptera; Nitidulidae.
UUUAUCAAAAACAUGGCCUUUUGUUAUUAUUUAAGGUCUGACCUGCUCUAUGAGGAAUUAAAUGGCCGCGGUAUUUUGACCGUGCAAAGGUAGCAUAAUCAUUAGUUUUUUAAUUGAAAGCUGGAAUGAAAGGUUGAAUGAGAAAAUAGCUGUCUCUUAGAAAUUUUAUUAGAACUUUAUUUUUAAGUUAAAAAGCUUAAAUUUUAUUUAAAGACGAGAAGACCCUUUAGAGUUUUAUAGUAAUUGAUUAUUUAUAAUUUUAGAAUUUAUAGUUUAAAUGAAUUAUUACUAUUUGGUUGGGGUGAUUGAAAAAUUUAAUGAACUUUUUUUUAUUUAACCAUUUAUUUAUGAGCAAUUGAUCCAGUAGUAUUGAUUAUAAGAAUGAAUUACCUAAGGGAUAACAGCGUUAUUUUUCUUGAGAGUUCAAAUCGAAAGAAAAGAUUGCGACCUCGAUGUUGGAUUAAAAUUAAAUUAUGGUGCAGUAAUUAUAACUUUGAGUCUGUUCGACUCUUAAAAUUUUACAUG